UGGGGAAUCAUGGUCAAUGGGCGAAAGCCUGAACCUGCGACGCCGCGUGAGUGAUGAAGGUCGUAAGAUCGUAAAACUCUUUUCAGGGAUCUUAAAGCCUGUCUGUCAACAACAGGCAGGUCUGACUCUCCCUGGAAGAAGCCCCAGCCAACUACGUGCCAGCAGCUGCGGUAAUACGUAGGGGGCUAGCGUUAUCCAGAUUUAUUGGGCGUAAAGCGCGUGCAAGCGGUCUAUCGAGUUGGAUGUGAAAGCUCCUGGCUUAACUGGGAGAGGUCGUUCAAAACUGAUAGUCUCGAGAAUGGUAGAGGGAGGUGGAAUUCCGGGUGUAGUGGUGAAAUGCGUAGAUAUCCGGAGGAACACCAGUGGCGAAAGCGGCCUCCUGGGCCAUUUCUGACGCUCAGACACGAAAGCUAAGGUAGCAAACG
This 425-nucleotide ribosomal RNA is filed under the name uncultured prokaryote. RNAcentral describes it as "bacterial SSU rRNA". It matches the Rfam family "Bacterial small subunit ribosomal RNA", at positions 355 to 774 of the family's 1533-position model. The record is from RNAcentral.